This is a non-coding RNA of Xyrichtys novacula (pearly razorfish), 4763 nucleotides long. The record is from the annotation of a GenBank genome assembly. Lineage: Eukaryota; Metazoa; Chordata; Actinopteri; Labriformes; Labridae.
CUCUCAGUAAUUUGAAACAUGAGCGUUCUUUUCAAACGGCUUUUGCGCAACCACAAGCGGAGUUAGGUUAUUUAAUCCACAAGAAAAGUGGCACGGCGGUCAUCUGGGUGGUCUUUUGGGUUUGAGGCUGCAGACGUGCACCAGAAACAGGUAGGCUACUGUGCAAAACAUGACGCGCUAAAGUUGCUACAUCGAGCGGAAACACAACAUACCUUUACCGACACUUGGAAAAACCACUACAGGCACUUGCAUAACGGAGAAGUCCGGUGAAAAGUCUAGUAAACAUGAGUCUCAGGUCCAUUGUUGCAAACAGACUACAAUUACAAUAUCUUUUGCCAGUGAAAGCACUUACGACAAGAGCAGCUGAAGACACCGGGAGAUAACCACAGCCAUGAUGACACAAUGGGGGAGAGUGGGGUGAGUUGUGCCAGUUUUAACUUUGCGUCUUUAAAGCAAGGGGAUGACAGUAAUACCUCCGACUAAGAUAUGUACAUAUAGUUUAGGAUGUGGUGUAUCCUUGGGAACAAUCACUUUGGAUCUUAAAUAAACUGUUUGAGAAAUUAACUUUAGAAAAAUAAGUGGUCUUGUGGAGAGAAUACAUUGGGGCAAAUUGUGCCAUAGGUUAUUGAAGUAAACUACAUAAUUUUAAUCUUACAAACAGUAAUGCGGCAUAAAAGUGAGACAAAUUCAAUACAAAAUUACUUAUUUAAAGAUUUUACAACAUCAAAGCCCACUUCUCUAUAGAGCCACAUGAGCACAUUUAGAACAUAACCAGCUGCAAUUCUCUAAACCAAGCUACGAAUUAACAAUGCUGCAGGGAAAUCUGAAUUUAUGCUCCCUUCUGGUUGAACCACCAAGUCUCUGUGGUGUGGGUAGUUUCUGGAGCAUAUCACCUUUAGGGAGGACUCUAUUUUCUUUAAAUUUGAAAACUGGCUUUCCAUCCACAAUUCUUACCUUUAGUUUUCAUUCGUAUGUCAAAGCAAUAGAUUUUUAUGUUUUGAUUUGUAAAUGUUACUGUUCACAUUGUGUAUAUAGACGGGUUUCUUGUGUACUAACAAUAGACGGGUUUCUGUGCAACAUCAUCGCAGGUAUGCGCGCGCAGCCAGGGGUAGAAAGUGAGACAUUUCUUAUCUGUUCACUAUCGGAGUCAAUGGAGAAAGAAAAUGACAAGGAGCUGUUGUGCCGAAAACUGCACGAAUCGGCAAAACAAACAAUCGGCAAACAUUACGACCCUGCUCCUGAUAUUAGAAACAUCGAAAACAAUGUCACAACCUGGUAAAUUGAGUGAAAUUUAUGGAGAUUUCAGCAAGUGUUUUUCUGAUUUUGAUGCAGUGAAAGACAAAGCGAUUUUUCAAUGAAAUUAAAUUUAUUGCAAUUGUGUCAGGGAGAACUUGCAAACAAUACAGCAUCUUCAUUGAUAUCAGUUCACUCCGAGGCAGGCUUUUGCCUCCUGGUUGUGUGUGCACCUAGUAUUGUUUGUACACAAGAAACCCAUCUAUACUAUAGACAGUCUAUACUACCCGUAUAUUCUCUGUUGACUCCGCUAGUAAACAAAUAAGAAAUUUCUGUCCGAAAAUUGCAAUUCGAUCUUUUCCUAAAAUCGUUCAGCUGUUUAAGUUCAUUAAGUUGUCAAACUUGAACAAUGGAAGAAGGCUGGAAUCUGUUAACCUAAAAUGACAUUAUUUUUCAGAUGGCCUUUAUUCUCGUUUGACUCCAACUCAAACUGAACUUCUGGCUGAUGGUCUAAAAAAUAUAUCAGCUCUCAUGAGUCAAACAAGCACUGAAGAAAGCAAAAGAAACGAAACACUCAUGGAAGACCUGCCACACCAACAUUGCUCAUUACUCAGGUAUGUAGAUUAUAAAUUGCUUUUUCACUUAUUUUUUGACUUUGGGGUAUUAGAAAGGCAAUAUCACAUUGUUGUGAAUGGCAGCGUAUGCUUUGCUUAAAGUUUAGUGAAUUAUUAGAAGCAACCAUGUGAUAAGAUAUUGGCCAAAUUAAAAUGCAUCGAUUUACAGUCUAAAUAUUUUACAGUCAGCGACCAGAAAGCAUACCCCUUGUGCCUUCUAAUGCCACACAGCGCAGGAGCUCGGUCGUAAAUUCUGACUUGGUAAAAGAGAUUUUGUUGAGACUUUGUCAGAGAGGUGUUGAUUCACCUUUAUGGCUCAUGAUGCUUUAUUGGGUGAUUAUGUUUUCACUGCAUGAGGUGACACUACCUCACCAUUAAGCCCUUCACAAUAGCACAGCUAGUCCUUUAGUGUGGGGAAAGAAACCGUUUUAAAAACUGUUCAGAGAAAGUCCAAUCUGGAGGGUAUAGGGAGUGGCAAUUAAUGCUGUAUUUUCUGUUUGGAAAUCCUCAAAUAGAAAUAAAGGCAGCAUUAAUCAAGUUCAAUGGACUGGUUUAACUAUAGAAUUACAGUACGAUAGUAUGUUACUAUUUUACUGAUAGAAUCCAUUAUACUUUUAAUAAGCAAUAUUUAAGUUUAAAUACUGUGGGAUUUCAGAAGUGGCAGACUGAGUGGGCAGUAGAAAUGUUCAGUGACCUGCUGCAGCAGCAGGUGAGGAAAAAACUGUCUGUCAGAACAUGAAGACAGUCCCUCCUGAUUGGUCAGAGACAAUAUAUUGACAUGCUCAUGGGCAUUCAGUGCUACGGUUUUACUGAGUCUCAUCUAUUCUCUCAUCCAAGCAUAGCUAUUUUCAUUUAGCUUUUAAAAGUUUUUUCCCUCGUGUGUUACUGUCCACUCAUGAUGGACAUGUUUGGAGUGUUAUGUGACUCUUAUCUGUUUUCUUUUACACUCUGUGGAUUUGUAAUAAUGGAUACUUUAAAAUGUUUGGAUGGUGGAUUUAAGAAAGGUAGAUGAAAAUACAGCUACACUUAGUCUGUGCAUUACAGUUUUAUAUUUGGUAUGGAUAAUACUGUGACCACCCGGGACAAUAUUCUUUAUGUUUACAGUGUUUGGGAUUAUCUAAGCAAAGAGGCUGCUGUCUUCAUCCACUCCUCCUGGCUGGAGUAUAUCAGCAAGCUGCUCUGAUCUCUGAUAAGAUGUGACAAGUCAACCCCAAGUUGAGGUAAGAGUCAGACAAAAUAUGUUCAUAUUUAUGAACCUUAGAAAGCAACAAAGUCAGUGUAGUAGAUUUGAUACUUUGUUCUGUACAGCUUUCAAACCCCAACCCAUCUGUCGAGCACAUCAAAUGGUCCUAUAAUACAAGAACAAACUAACAUCAGUAAAAGCAGGGACAGUUUCUAGAGAAAAAGCUGUGGGGAUUGAACUGGCACAUCAGUUUCACAAAGAGCUAGCUCCCUCCUGAACUCCAUCAUACUACCAGCCAGAAUGAGGCCACUGUGUUGGCAUAACAUAAAGAAUGCAGGGACCUCCUACUAGUUAAGUUACAUCUGGCCCAGCUAGUGCCACAAUGCAAUGCAUUAUCAUCUGACAAUGUUAUGUGAACUACAUAUCUUUGAAGUACACUGUGAGAAAGUUGUAAAAUCAAAUAGCACAGCAUCAUAAGCUACUGUGCAGUGUUUGGAAAAACUGACAAGUCUUCAAACUUCACUGAAGUCAGGCAGAAACCUAUGUAAACAAGGUUGUGCACACUUCAGGUGACGAGGCCAAACACUGACUUAUAGGGUCACACCUGUGCUUGUUGGACAUAACACUGGUCAAGUUAAUCAGACUAAGCCAACAUAAAACUUAAUCGACAUUUUCUUAAUCAAAAUACUACCAAGUCAUCUGGGCUCGUUUACAUGAGGAUGGUAGAGCAUCUGAGUCGCUAUCAACUGGAGCUACAGCACCAGCUUCUGGUGAAUUGGUGCAUUACAGUUUAAGAACAAUGUAUGACCGGCGUUUUAGGCCUACUAUAAUAAUAAAAAUGUUGAUAACUCAUUUAUUCAACUUCUAAACCAAAUAUUUGUGAUGUUAAUGCACAUGACAGCAGUUAGUAGUUUAGUUGACUAAACCGUGACAGCCUGUGUUUAAUUAAAAAUAAAUAAUUUUACAGGCUUUAAAACAAAUGGAAGUAAAUGACUAUGAAACAGGAGUACAAAUGUGGCAAUUUGAGGUGUUUUGAUUAAAAAAAAAAUACAAAACCAUUUUGAUUUGAUUUAUUUUUCUUACAUAAACCUUUUUUCCGUUCUUCAUCUGAAAAAAGAGACAAAAAGUCAGAAAUAGACAUCUGCUUACAAAAUGCACAGGUAGGCCUAAGAAACCCCUCAGUGCUUUUAGGAUUAAAUCUAUCAAGCACUGAUAAUAAAGCAUAAACAAAAAUCGGUUUUGUGUGCAGUAGAAUACUUCUUUAAAGUACCAGCAUACACGAGAGAAGGAAUUAAUGUAAAAGCUUUUAAAAAACAAAAAAGAAGAUUGAAAUGUGAGGGAGACAGUUCUUAAUUAAUGAACUUCUGAGACGUUGACAAUAAAAGAGCUGCUAAAGAGAUAGGAAGUUGGUGAUUAGGAAACUGGAAUACAAAAGAACAAAUCUCAGGUGUGCUGAUGUUAAAUCUGUCGAAUAAUAGAGAGGUGUGAACAUUCUAGCUGGAGGGACUUUUCCUUUUGUUAACGUGUUUAUUUUUUUCUUCAUCAGAUAAGACAGCUGAAGAAAGACAAGAAAUGUUGGGAGUACAGAGGGCAGAAAGUGAUUGUGGUCUGGAGUCGAACCAGCUACCAUUGUAGCGAGUACUAUAGCCUUUGCACAUGGCAUGUUUCUCGAUCAGUGGGUCAACAGUGGCCCAGCUGGAGAGACAAUUCCAACAGAUUUUUAGAAUAGGGAC